GAGAAGGUAAAAUAAGGGGAGCUUAUUUAAGGUAAAAUAAGCUCCCCUUAUUUAGGUAAAAUAAGGGGAGCUUACCUUCCCAACAGGAGCUGAGAUCCUCCAGUUAAGGAGAAAGGAGGGGGGAAUUAGCUGCGUGUUCAGUUCUUUCCUUUUACAUGCGUGGCUGUGUCAUCAAUACGAAGGUCAGGCUGGACCUGAGGUUUCUUCACAUUUAUUAUUCAGAAGCACUCACUUUGACUAGAAAGGACCUGCAAACAAUUCAUGCAUUGGGCAGCACCCCAUCCGGCAAAUAGAAAGGCCCUCCUCUAUGGUCUAGAAAAAGGACCAGGUUUUAAAGGUGGAAAGGGGGUGGGAAAAGGAAAUUAUUAGCAAAGAAUGCAUUGUUUCAGGCAAGGUCGCUCUCCUUUCAUGCUGACCUGGUCAUUUCAGGUUGACUGGUUAAAGGUAACAUUUCUGGGAAGGUAGGACUGCAAUUAGGUUAGGUAAUAAGUUGGUUUGGUGUCGGUGACGUGGGCUUUACACAGGGAUUCCAUUAGGGGCUUGCUGUUUCUUUUUAACAGUGGAAAGGAAUACGUCAUCUCUUAAGGGCAGGCAUUGCUAUCCAAAGAGGCUUUAAGCAAACGUGUUUUUUUUCCCCCUCUUCUGUUGUUCCUAAACUAAAAUUAAAAUCUCUUUACUGGUUGGAGAAAAAAAAAAAAAAAAGGAAAAACACCUCUUCGAUUUUAUCAUGAAUUAAAACUUCAACCUUAUAUAUUAUUGAAAUAGUAUGUCUUUAAUUUUGAGGUUAUUAUUUUGGUUCCUUUAGAGCUGACAUACAACUUUUGUUUAAAAUGGGCAUUGUGAUGAUUUGCUAAAAAUAUAUAUCUUGAGAAAUGAUUACUGCAGUAAGAGAUUUCUUUUCUACAAAGAUCCAGGAAUGCAGUUACCAUUCAUUCCUGGAUGGAACUGGGAAAAAGACAGAUGACAACUGGGAAAAAUUAUCAGGACAUUGUGAAUGGAGACAUGAAGAAUUCAGAAUUUCACAGCGGACUUUCAUAGUCGGUACUGGCUCUUCCUGUUUUUUUUUUUUAAAAGGCAUGUCUUUCAGAAUUGAGUAGUUUUUCUCAAAAGGAACUAUCACCCUUCCCACAAGUCUAGGAGGCAGUUGGGAAUAUUUGGAAAUGCUUUUGUAAAGCGUAACAAGGGCGAGCAGAUAUAAUUAUGCUCAGUAUUGAUCCAAAAGGAAGGUAACCUUUCACUUAUGAGAGGAAAAAAGUCCCUAUCUUAUAGUAUAAUUUAUAUUAGGGUUACACUCACUAUCAAGUUAGAUUUAUUGUGAAAUUUAAAGCAGACACCCAAGCCCUGAUUGCAGCUGGCAAAGCGCCCUCUAGUGGCGCUUUCCCGAGCUCGCUAAGUCCCCCAAAGCCACACUCAGGCCCUUGAUAGGGUGCCCUCCUGAAACCUCCACCACACUCCUGGGUCUUCAGUGAGUUUGCAGAAUGACUCAGGACUAUUUUCAAUUUAAUCAUAAGUUUAAGAAUUUUUUUUAAAAAAGCUUAAUUGUACGUAGGUUUUCAAAGAUGGCUUUUUGUCACUAUCUGGAAAACAUGGUUAUAGGCUUUUCAACGGACGAAUUCUCUUUAGAAUACGAAAAGAAUUAACAUGUUCCCUAGAAGUCAAACACUUUAAAUACAUGUUAAUAUCACGAAUUCUAAUUUUCUUGAAUUCCCUGACCUCUCCGUUCCAGGGUCAGUUUUAUACCUUGGUCCAAAUGGCUGGAGAGACCAAUUUUAUAUCUUGGUCCAAGAUGGCAGUGGCAGCCCUUACACCAGGGCAGUUUUUCCCAGAGGCACCCAGCGCUGCCACCUACCCCACAGCUCACUUCAAAGCCGGAUCCUGAACCCACUGAGUGAGGCCAGGGAUGGAACCUGCAUCCUCAAGGAUCCUAGUCAGGUUUGUUUCCACUGAGCCACAAGGGGAACUCCCCCGAGCACUUUUCUGACACCGAUGUCUACACACAAAGAUCUAUGUAACACUGGGUAUAGCCUUUUUUUGGGGUCUUUUUAGGGCUGCACACAUGGCAUAUGUAUGUUCCCAGACUAAGGGUUGGAGCUGUAGCUGCUGGCCUACACUACAGCCACAGUAACAUGGGAUCCAAGCUGCGUCUGCAAACUACACCACAGCUCACAGCAAUGCCAGAUCCUUAACCCACUGAGCAAGGCCGGGGAUUGAAACUGCAUCCUCACUGAUACUAGUCAGAUUCGUUUCUACUGACCCACAAUGGGAACUCCCCUAAUUUUUUUUUUGAAAGUGUGUAAAAAGAUGUGUGAAGAGAGAAGGAGAAAGAGAUUGUAGAUGCAAAGAUUUGGGGGUAUGCUAGACGUCUAUAAAAUACUCAAGUUAAUGAUAUAAAUGUAUGUAUUAGGAUAAAUGUAGGUGUAUUGAUCAAACUGAGAAAUAGUUCUGAAGAGAUAUAUUUAGCUAAAUAAAAAAAAUGGAUUACUUCACUAGGAGAUAGUGAAUCUUUAAAACCUAAAGCAAUGAAUCACAAAAUAUAGUUUUAACUACUAUUGAAAUAAUACAAGGACUCAGUAACAGUUUUUUGGGUUUUUUGUUUUGUUUUGUUUUGUUUCCUUUUUUGGCCAACCUUCGGCAUAUGGAGUUUCCCAGCCAGGGAUCAGAUCUGAG
Molecule: long non-coding RNA, 2667 nt
Filed under: Sus scrofa (pig)
Lineage: Eukaryota; Metazoa; Chordata; Mammalia; Artiodactyla; Suidae
Description: lncRNA (ENSSSCG00015019819.1)
Source: RNAcentral